RNAcentral lists this ribosomal RNA (492 nucleotides) under uncultured bacterium. RNAcentral describes it as "partial 16S ribosomal RNA". It matches the Rfam family "Bacterial small subunit ribosomal RNA", at positions 29 to 507 of the family's 1533-position model. The record is from RNAcentral.
AGUGAACGCUGGCGGCAGGCCUAACACAUGCAAGUCGAACGGCAGCACAAUAUGAGCUUGCUGUUACGUGGGGCGAGGGGCGGACGGGUGAGAUAUACAUCGGAAUCUACUUUUUCGGGGGGGAUAUCGUAGGGAAACUUACGCUAAUACCACAUACGACGUACGGGUGAAAGCAGGGGAGCAUGGGCCCUUGCGCGAGUGACUGAGCAGAUGUCGGAUUAGCUAGUUGGAGGGGUAAAGGCACACCAAGGCGACGAUCCGUAGCUGGUCUGAGAGGAUGAUCAGCCACACUGGAACUGAGACACGAUCCAGACUCCUACGGGAGGCAGCAGUGGGGAAUAUUGGACAAUGGGCGAAAGCCUGAUCCAGCCAUGCCGCGUGUGUGAAGAAGGCCUUCGGGUUGUAAAGCCCUUUUGUUGGGAAAGAAAAGCAGCAGGUUUAUACCUCGCGUUGCUGACGGUACCGAAAGAAUAAGCACCGGCUAACUUCGUG